Long non-coding RNA from Tachysurus fulvidraco (yellow catfish), 2015 nucleotides. RefSeq lists it as uncharacterized. Lineage: Eukaryota; Metazoa; Chordata; Actinopteri; Siluriformes; Bagridae. The transcript has 3 exons. The record is from RefSeq and is a predicted model, not a curated record.
GGGUUCAAACUUGUCACAUUUCGGCGAUAUUCGCCGUUUUGGAUCCAAAAUAGGUAAUUCUUUUGAUUUGCCUAGAUCCGAUGAGUUUUUGAAAAUGAGGGGAGAGGGGGGUCUGCGUCAGGGUUGUAGUAAAUGAAAAUCAGUAAAUGUAAUGAUGUCAAAUCACUAGCCAGUUUGGCGGGUUAUGUUUUACAAUUUCCGAAGUAUAAGCAGUCUGUGCAGAUUGAGCGCACACACUUAACUCGUAGUAUUUUCUCUAUUGAAGUCACACGCCCACGUCACGUUGCUGUGCGCGUGGUCACAAAAACUUAACAUUCACUUAAGUUUCACUUUUCACUUGUUUCACGAUUGACUUGCAUAUACCGUACAGUAUUUCCAUGUAUUAAAGUUGCUGCGUUCACGUAUUUACACUACAAUCCAAGACGCUAUAUCGGUCAAACUGGCUAACACACACUCACACGGGGUAAAACCAAACCCUAUUCAUUCAGCAAUCCGACCUGAUCGUUUCUCUCCUCUCCCUAUUUUUUAUUAUUUUUUUUAUUUUAUUUGUGGCGUUCCGCGUCACUCGCGUGACGAAUGACAAGGCGGCAGACCUAAACACGGUCAGUUUACUUGGUGGAUUUGGAGCGGCAAUUUUCACACAAAAGAGGAGAAAAACGAGCGUCAGUGCGGAAAAUACUGGUGGCGACGGAGAUAGUGACGAUGUAACAACAUUGGUUCCGAAAAAAGGAAAGCAAAGAAGUUACAUAUGGACGUUUCUCAAUCGGAAGGCUGCAGCCUCCGAAGGUCGCAUAUGCAGGCUGCAUACGUGGGACUGAUUCUCCGUGCUGAUGAUAGUUGUGUUUGUUAUUAUUCAGUUUGUUUAAGUAUUACUUAAGUAAGACUUAUUUAAUGCCUGCUAUGACUGUACACACAAUUUCAUUCUUAAUUUCCAUAUCAUUGUUCAUUUUCUACAGAUUUCUGCCACUGCACCACUACACUCUGACUCUCCCUGCUAGUCCAAGGCUGAUACUGCUGGUUGCUGGUGAAGUCACACUUGGAGGUUGGAUGCAUUGAAAACAACAUCAUCUGUGAAGGCAUCCACCAAAGCUUCAUCAGAGGGCUGGCUGCAGUUUUCGCCACCUACUAUGUGUUCAACUUGCAAUACCAAGAGGAAGCUGCCAGGACACUGGACUUUGUUCAAAGAUGCUUAAUUGGUGUGAACCCUGAAAGGGGAACAAAAGCCAGCCAAGUGAAGGUGUCCAAGAAGACAGGAAAGCUUGUCCAGAAAAAGGCAGCAACUGUGAAUCCCCAUGUGGCCACCCUUAUCAAAAACCUCAUGGACUUUGAGUGGGGCUUUAUUUAAUUUUUUUAUAUUACAGUUUAUUUUAAUUGAAGAUGAUGUUACAGCAUUGUGUUCAGCACUUCAGUUAAGAAAAGUCACAUCAUUGUGGUGUUUAUUAUAUUUAAUAAAAACUGUGUAUUAUUGUCAUCCUUUGUUUGAGACAUUUUUUUGCAAGCAAUUUUAAGUUACAAUAUAAAGAUCACAUUCUACAGUAUAGUUUAUAUUAAAAAAACAAUAAACAGUUUAUUAAAAUUACAGCAGGAACACUAAAAUAACAGUAUAAUGCAACCAAACAUCUGACAGUAUUAUACUGUGCAGCUCUCUUUUUUUACAGCACAGUCCCGUAAUAUUUGUACAGUAAAAAACUGUUAUUGUAAAUUACAGUAGGUAAUCUGUAAAAUUACAACUUUAUGCAGGCAAAUCUAGCUGCCAGUAUAUUACUGUAAUUUAACGGUGACAUUUUUUACAGUGUAGAAUCCAGCUUUGCUGAGGUCAAUAUGUAUGUCAAAGGAUUACUGUCAGUGACAACAGUGAACUGGUUACCAUACAGACAAUCGCUAAACUUCUCAGUGAUUGCCCACUUAAACAUGGAUUAUUACAAUAAAGCUUCUCACAAAGCUUUUCACACUGUGUCUUCCUGCAUCUCAGUCAACAGGAAAUAAUGACCACUGGAGGGACUCAUGCUGUACUU